This 891-nucleotide ribosomal RNA is filed under the name Triticum aestivum (bread wheat). Its description in RNAcentral is "partial small subunit ribosomal RNA". The record is from RNAcentral. Lineage: Eukaryota; Viridiplantae; Streptophyta; Magnoliopsida; Poales; Poaceae.
AUGGGCGUCGGCGGCAUUCCCUGCCGCCCCCGCCCCCUCCACCUCGCCGCCGCCGCCGUCCUGCUCCUCGUCCUCCUGACGCCGCGCCCGGCGUCGUGCGCCGACCUGUACGCGGUCGUCUACAAGGGCUGCGCCAACCAGACCUUCGCGGGGGGCAGCCCGCCGCCGACCGUCGCGGCGCUCUCCUCGGCGCUCGCCGCGCAGUCCGCCUCCGCCAAGUUCUACAAGACCUCCUCGGCCUCCGCCUCCUCCGCCUCCGCCUCCGUCUUCGGCCUCUUCCAGUGCCGCGGGGACCUCUCCGGCCCGGACUGCUCCUCCUGCGUCGCGCGCGCCAUGUCCUCCUGGCGCGACCUCUGCGGCGGCGCCGUCGCCGCCCGCGUCCAGCUCAACGGCUGCCUCGCGCUCUACGAGAUCUCCGGCUUCCCCCAGGUCUCCGGCGUCCAGAUGCUCUUCAAGACCUGCGGCUCCGGCGGGGGCGCCGCCGCCGCGGACUUCGAGACCCGCCGCGGCACCGCCUUCAGCCAGCUCGAGGGGGGAGCCGGCUCCAGCGCCGGCGGGUUCUUCGCUACCAGCUUCCAGCAGGUGUACGCGCUGGCGCAGUGCGAGGGCGACCUCUCCAACGUCGACUGCAGCAACUGCGUCACCCAGGCCGUGCAGCGCGUCGCCGUCGAGUGCGGCGGCGCCCCCUCCGGCCAGGUCUACCUCGACAAGUGCUACAUUACCUACAGCUACUACCCCCACGGCGUGCCCCAUGGCGGCGGCGGCGGCCUCGGAGGGCAGCAGACAGCCAAGACUGUAGCCAUCGUGCUGGGUGGAGCCUUGGCCCUGGGUUUCCUGGUCAUCUGCUUGCUCUUCGCCAGAAGCCUGGUCAAGAAGAAGGACGAUUACUGA